Molecule: ribosomal RNA, 389 nt
Filed under: Escherichia coli
Lineage: Bacteria; Pseudomonadati; Pseudomonadota; Gammaproteobacteria; Enterobacterales; Enterobacteriaceae
Description: bacterial SSU rRNA
Rfam family: Bacterial small subunit ribosomal RNA
Source: RNAcentral
UUUGCUGACGAGUGGCGGACGGGGUGAGUAAUGUCUGGGAAAACUGCCUGAUGGAGGGGGGAUAACUACUGGAAACGGUAGCUAAUACCGCAUAACGUCGCAAGACCAAAGAGGGGGACCUUCGGGCCUCUUGCCAUCGGAUGUGCCCAGAUGGGAUUAGCUAGUAGGUGGGGUAACGGCUCACCUAGGCGACGAUCCCUAGCUGGUCUGAGAGGAUGACCAGCCACACUGGAACUGAGACACGGUCCAGACUCCUACGGGAGGCAGCAGUGGGGAAUAUUGCACAAUGGGCGCAAGCCUGAUGCAGCCAUGCCGCGUGUAUGAAGAAGGCCUUCGGGUUGUAAAGUACUUUCAGCGGGGAGGAAGGGAGUAAAGUUAAUACCUUGCUC